Molecule: transfer RNA, 72 nt
Filed under: Camelus bactrianus (Bactrian camel)
Lineage: Eukaryota; Metazoa; Chordata; Mammalia; Artiodactyla; Camelidae
Also listed under: 2 other names
Rfam family: tRNA
About the family: Transfer RNA (tRNA) molecules are approximately 80 nucleotides in length. Their secondary structure includes four short double-helical elements and three loops (D, anti-codon, and T loops).
Source: Rfam by way of RNAcentral
GAGGGUACAGCUCAGUGGCAGAGUGCAUGCUUAGCAUGCAUGAGUUCCUGGGUUCAAUCCCCAGUGCCUCCA